GACUCACCCACCACGCUCAAGUGUACAUAAAGGACGCCCGUCUCUUUACACUUUGCCCAGGUUCGAUGGUUGAUGGAAAUAUUCGUUCUAGCUGAUGGUGUUGUCGCUGUGUUUAGCUUCCGUCAGAUGUUUCCUCGGCUCACCCACCACGCUAUCACAGGGGUAGGGCCGCCCUCCUUCUCCUGGAGGUAUCCACUGAAAAUACAGGCAAACAUCAAUCCUGCCAAGCAGGGCGUCUCUCCAGCGCUUACACAAACCACUUGCAGGUUCACAACAUCUCUCCAACUACACUGCUUCAGCCUGGGAAAGAGAGCCGGACCGCUACCAGCAACGCACCCGAUGAGUAUACACAACACUGCAGUACAACGUCAACAAUCCGCCUCUAACUGUGAUUUAACUGUUCUUUUUAUACUGGCCUGCCCGGCGUGUCCUCCAAUCAUCGCCGCUC
Non-coding RNA from Paramisgurnus dabryanus, 448 nucleotides. Lineage: Eukaryota; Metazoa; Chordata; Actinopteri; Cypriniformes; Cobitidae. The record is from RefSeq and is a predicted model, not a curated record.